GCGGGUGUAGCUCAGUGGUAGAGCGCCUCCCUGCCACGGAGGAGGUCGCGGGUUCGAAUCCCGUCACCCGCUCCA
This 75-nucleotide transfer RNA is filed under the name Dictyoglomota bacterium. Its description in RNAcentral is "Dictyoglomi bacterium (hydrothermal vent metagenome) tRNA-Gly". It matches the Rfam family "tRNA". Rfam says of the family: Transfer RNA (tRNA) molecules are approximately 80 nucleotides in length. Their secondary structure includes four short double-helical elements and three loops (D, anti-codon, and T loops). RNAcentral also lists the same sequence under 1 other name. Lineage: Bacteria; Pseudomonadati; Dictyoglomota. The record is from RNAcentral.